Molecule: long non-coding RNA, 1101 nt
Organism: Acanthochromis polyacanthus (spiny chromis)
Lineage: Eukaryota; Metazoa; Chordata; Actinopteri; Pomacentridae
Exons: 3
Source: RefSeq, a predicted model, not a curated record
GCUGCAUAUGUGUACCAAAUUUGGUAGCUGUAGGUGAAACAUGAUGGCCGUGGGAAAGUGUAGGGGGCGCUAUGGAGCCAUUUUGCCACACACCUCCACAAUUCCUUUAAAAUAUGAAAUUUUUCACCAGUCCUGAUGUGUGUACAAAUUUUCAUGAGUUUUUGAGCAUGUUUAGGCCCUCAAAAAUGCAAUUGUUCUGAGAGACAAAUAAUAAUAAUUAAAGCUGCGAGCAGCGUUGAACGGGUCCUCGCAUCCUUGCUGGUCGGCGACCCCAAGCAUGUCCACCAGGCAAUGCUGCGACAAAGUGUAUUUAGGCUCAUGGAUGUAACGAGGACUGGAUUCUGAGCACUCAGGUCAAAUUUCAGACAGAUUGGAGCAUGUACAGACUAUUUUUGCAGCACUUUGUGUCCAUCCACCAGGUGGCACUAUGUCUGUGACUGUAUAGUGGUCUAUGAAACUCAUCAGGACUGGACUCUGAUCAAACAUGUAAAGUUUGAGGUAGAUUACAGCAUGUACAGGGGAUUUACACAAGACGUCCUGCUUCAUGGCGUAACAUUAAAGUUCAGUUGGCCGCCAUGGCCAUGCCCUUUGAGUUUUGUGAACAAUUUUCGCAAAUAUGCAACCUGAAGGCGUUUCUUAUAUAUUUUCCCAAAUUCAGGUGUUUUGGAGUUAUUGCCAGUGACAAAUGAAUUGUUGAAAAUGACCAAAAACACCAAAAAUCUGACAUUUAAUUCAAAAUGGCUGACUUUCUGUUGUGUUUAGAGAAUGACUCCAAGAGACUUUUUUGCUUGCACUGAUGUGCUACAUAUGCAUGCCAAAUUUCAUAGUCAUAGGUGAAAGUCUGUGUGGAGGCUAUUUUUUAAAUUCUUUUAGGGGGCGCUAUGGUAGAUGCUGUGAAUGUAUUUUGGCCAAUAAAUGUGAUCAGGACAGGACUGUGUUUAAUCAUGUGAGGUCUGAGGUAGAUUGGAGCAUGCAGAGGAUAGUUAGGUAGCACUUGAUGUUUCAUGGCGAACCAUCAAAAUUCUGGAGGUCGCCAUGUCCACACCCUUUGACUCUGCAAGAAUCUUUUAAUAACUUUUGAUCAUAACAUCGUGUUGUAUA